GAGGACGGCUCGGCGUUGGGGGACGGCACACUCCCCCCGGCUUGCCGGGGACGCCGCCCCCGAAAUUCAGUGGCGGCCCUCGGAGGCGACCUCUGCGUAGUAACUCAACCUCGCAAAGGAAAGCUCCGAGCGGCCACGCCGUGAAACCCCAACUCUUCAAGGUUGACCUCGAAUCAGGUAGGACUACCCGCUGAACUUAA
This 200-nucleotide unclassified non-coding RNA is filed under the name soil metagenome. RNAcentral describes it as "partial contains internal transcribed spacer 2 and large subunit ribosomal RNA". The record is from RNAcentral.